UGCGAGUCGAGAGGGUUCGGCCCUCGGCGGACUGCUCAGUAACACGUGGAUAAUCUGCCCUUAGGUGGAGGAUAACCUCGGGAAACUGAGAAUAAUACUCCAUAGGUCUAGGAUGCUGGAAUGCAUCUAGACUCAAAGAUUUAUCGCCUAAGGAUGAGUCUGCGGACUAUCAGGUUGUAGUCAGGGUAAUGGCCUGACUAGCCUACGACGGAUACGGGUUGUGAGAGCAAUAACCCGGAGACGAUAUCUGAGACACGAUAUCGGGCCCUACGGGGCGCAGCAGGCGCGAAACCUUCACACUGUGCGAAAGCACGAUGAGGGAAUCCCAAGUGCUUGCACGUAAGUGUAAGCUGUUUUUCUGUCUAAAAAGCAGAGAGAGUAAGAGCUGGGUAAGACGGGUGCCAGCCGCCGCGGUAAUACCUGCAGCUCAAGUGGUGGCCGCUAUUAUUGGGCCUAAAACGUUCGUAGCCGGUUUGGUAAAUGCCUGGGUAAAUCGAGCCGCUUAACGGUACGAAUUCCGGGUAGACUGCUUAGCUUGGGACCGGAAGAAGUUAGAGGUACUCCUGGGGUAGGGGUGAAAUCCUGUAAUCCUGGGGGGACCACCAGUGGCGAAGGCGUCUAACUAGGACGGGUCUGACGGUGAGGGACGAAGCCCUGGGGCGCAAACCGGAUUAGAUACCCGGGUAGUCCAGGGUGUAAACGCUGCUUGCUUGAUGUUAGCUGGGCUCCGAGCUCAGCUAGUGUCGGAGAGAAGUUGUUAAGCAAGCUGCCUGGGAAGUACGGUCGCAA
Molecule: ribosomal RNA, 789 nt
Filed under: uncultured archaeon
Lineage: Archaea
Description: bacterial SSU rRNA
Rfam family: Archaeal small subunit ribosomal RNA
Source: RNAcentral